Molecule: non-coding RNA, 44 nt
Filed under: Schistosoma mansoni
Lineage: Eukaryota; Metazoa; Platyhelminthes; Trematoda; Strigeidida; Schistosomatidae
Source: RNAcentral
AUUCACCUGACGAGUCCAAAUGGGACGAAGCGCAUGUCCUGGAU